This 458-nucleotide ribosomal RNA is filed under the name uncultured bacterium. Its description in RNAcentral is "partial 16S ribosomal RNA". It matches the Rfam family "Bacterial small subunit ribosomal RNA", at positions 338 to 795 of the family's 1533-position model. The record is from RNAcentral.
CCUACGGGUGGCAGCAGUGAGGAAUAUUGGUCAAUGGGCGAGAGCCUGAACCAGCCAAGUCGCGUGAGGGAGUACUGCCCUAUGGGUUGUAAACCUCUUUUGUCGGGGAGCAAAAGCCGGACGUGUCCGGCUGUGAGAGUACCCGAAGAAAAAGCAUCGGCUAACUCCGUGCCAGCAGCCGCGGUAAUACGGAGGAUGCGAGCGUUAGCCGGAUUUAUUGGGUUUAAAGGGUGCGCAGGCGGAUUUUUAAGUCAGCGGUAAAAUCGUGGGGCUCAACCCCAUCCAGCCGUUGAAACUGGGGAUCUAGAGUGUGCGAGAGGUAUGCGGAAUGCGUGGUGUAGCGGUGAAAUGCAUAGAUAUCACGCAGAACCCCGAUUGCGAAGGCAGCAUACCGGUGCACAACUGACGCUCAGGCACGAAAGCGUGGGUAUCGAACAGGAUUAGAUACCCUAGUAGUC